UCUUUUCCUUGUGUGCCAGCAGCCGCGGUAAAACGUAGGUCACAAGCGUUGUCCGGAAUUACUGGGUGUAAAGGGAGCGCAGGCGGGAAGACAAGUUGGAAGUGAAAUCCAUGGGCUCAACCCAUGAACUGCUUUCAAAACUGUUUUUCUUGAGUAGUGCAGAGGUAGGCGGAAUUCCCGGUGUAGCGGUGGAAUGCGUAGAUAUCGGGAGGAACACCAGUGGCGAAGGCGGCCUACUGGGCACCAACUGACGCUGAGGCUCGAAAGUGUGGGUAGCAAACAGG
RNAcentral lists this ribosomal RNA (284 nucleotides) under Faecalibacterium prausnitzii. RNAcentral describes it as "partial 16S ribosomal RNA". It matches the Rfam family "Bacterial small subunit ribosomal RNA", at positions 493 to 776 of the family's 1533-position model. Lineage: Bacteria; Bacillati; Bacillota; Clostridia; Eubacteriales; Oscillospiraceae. The record is from RNAcentral.